RNAcentral lists this ribosomal RNA (463 nucleotides) under uncultured bacterium. RNAcentral describes it as "partial 16S ribosomal RNA". It matches the Rfam family "Bacterial small subunit ribosomal RNA", at positions 28 to 507 of the family's 1533-position model. The record is from RNAcentral.
GACGAACGCUGGCGGCGUGCUUAACACAUGCAAGUCGAACGGUGAACCUCUUCGGAGGGGAUCAGUGGCGAACGGGUGAGUAACACGUGGGCAACCUGCGCCCGCCUCUGGGAUAACUCCAAGAAAUAGUGGCUAAUACCGGAUGUUCACCGCUUCCCGCCUGGGUGGUGGUGGAAAGGGUUUCGGGCUGGGGAUGGGCCCGCGGCCUAUCAGCUUGUUGGGGGGGUAGUGGCCUACCAAGGCGAGGACGGGUAGCCGGCCUGAGAGGGGGACCGGCCAAUUUGGGCUGGAGACAGGGCCAAGCCUCCAACGGGAGGCAGCAGGGGGAAUAAUUGAGAAAGGGGGCGAGGCCUGAGCAAGCAACGCCGCGUGGGGGAUGCCGGCCUUGGGGUGGUAAACGCCUUUAGGCGGGGACGAACUUUUAGUGACGGUACCUGCAGAAGAAGCACCGGCUAACUACGUG